UACGUAGGGUCCAAGCGUUGUCCGGAUUUAUUGGGCGUAAAGAGCUCGUAGGCGGUUCGGUAAGUCGGAUGUGAAAACUCGGGGCUCAACCCCGAGACGCCAUCCGAUACUGCUGUGACUUGAGUCUGGUAGGGGAACACGGAAUUCCUGGUGUAGCGGUGAAAUGCGCAGAUAUCAGGAGGAACACCGAUGGCGAAGGCAGUGUUCUGGGCCAGUACUGACGCUGAGGAGCGAAAGCGUGGGUAGCAAACGGG
This 254-nucleotide ribosomal RNA is filed under the name uncultured bacterium. RNAcentral describes it as "partial 16S ribosomal RNA". It matches the Rfam family "Bacterial small subunit ribosomal RNA", at positions 524 to 776 of the family's 1533-position model. The record is from RNAcentral.